This 584-nucleotide long non-coding RNA is filed under the name Nicotiana tabacum (common tobacco). RNAcentral describes it as "long non-coding RNA (NTAB_LNC008439)". Lineage: Eukaryota; Viridiplantae; Streptophyta; Magnoliopsida; Solanales; Solanaceae. The record is from RNAcentral.
CUCAUAACAGUUCACCCUGAAGUGAAAUGGCUCAAGUCCUUCGCGGAUGAUACACUUUCAGAAAUCUUUUCCUAAUAACACUUUAAGAAACUUAUUAGAUACUAAAAAGAGAGCUCAAAGCAUGCUAAUUACCAAUUUCUGCAUGUUCCUGUGUCUUCUUUGUUUUAAACGUCUCCGAAGCUUCAGAUCAAUUUUUAGAUCAUCUUCCUCUUUAACCUGGAAGAGAGAGAAGUAAAAAAAUUGUCAUAAGUUGAAUCGACAACCCAGUGAUAACACCAGAAGUUACCUCUCAUCAGCAGAGAAUUCGAAGAAACAAAUGGUCAUUUAAAGGGUGCUUAAAAGAAAAAGAAAUAGUGUGGUGAAAAGGAAGGGGGGAAAAGGUGCAAUGAACACUUCAUCCGGCUCCAUGUCUUCAAGAAAUGAAGUAUUAAUGUCAAAGAAAAGAACUAGAAUAUACCAUUCACAGACCUUCUUAUACUUCCUCUUUUGCUCUUCAGAAAGAUUUAGCUCUCUUUCAUUUGCAAUGGCAUCUGCAACAAAUGGAUCAACAGAACUGUCUUCAAUAUCAUCAAUCUCCUCAACCU